AUAACCAGUUGCUUCGCAGGGCGCAGCAUUAUACGACCGCAGAGGUUGAACCCUGAACGGUUGGGGCAAGUAUGGACACAACAUUCAAGCUGGAUUCAGCUCUAAAUUUGGAUUGUGAUUAAAUAGUUGACACAGCAUAGGUUUCUGACACAGAAUGAAUGUGGUCUAAUGAACUUAAACAUAAAUUUUUGCCUUUGAGCAAUUCACUAUGCUGUUGAAUAUUAAUCCUCUCAAAAAAAUGUUUGAAGAAAUUUUCU
Molecule: long non-coding RNA, 257 nt
Filed under: Mytilus galloprovincialis (Mediterranean mussel)
Lineage: Eukaryota; Metazoa; Mollusca; Bivalvia; Mytilida; Mytilidae
Source: RNAcentral